This 75-nucleotide transfer RNA is filed under the name Alphaproteobacteria bacterium. Its description in RNAcentral is "tRNA-Val". It matches the Rfam family "tRNA". Rfam says of the family: Transfer RNA (tRNA) molecules are approximately 80 nucleotides in length. Their secondary structure includes four short double-helical elements and three loops (D, anti-codon, and T loops). The record is from RNAcentral. RNAcentral also lists the same sequence under 1 other name. Lineage: Bacteria; Pseudomonadati; Pseudomonadota; Alphaproteobacteria.
GGGCGCGUAGCUCAGCGGGAGAGCGCCGCGUUGACAUCGCGGAGGUCGCUGGUUCAAUCCCAGCCGCGCCCACCA